CUUGGAAAGUGACACUAAACUUUCCUAGCCAGAAGCAGAAGACUGAUAUUAUCACCCAGGCCUGUGCAAGGCUUGCGUGGCUUUGCACCCAACUCAUACACGCAGUUGGGAUUAUUGCCAGCAGAGGAUAGUUGGUUCACUUAAUUGGACUUAAAGAAUACCUCCUUAGCAUUAGACUGGC
Long non-coding RNA from Sapajus apella (tufted capuchin), 181 nucleotides. RefSeq lists it as uncharacterized. Lineage: Eukaryota; Metazoa; Chordata; Mammalia; Primates; Cebidae. The record is from RefSeq and is a predicted model, not a curated record. The transcript has 3 exons.